Molecule: ribosomal RNA, 1474 nt
Filed under: uncultured Bordetella sp.
Lineage: Bacteria; Pseudomonadati; Pseudomonadota; Betaproteobacteria; Burkholderiales; Alcaligenaceae
Description: partial 16S-23S ribosomal RNA intergenic spacer
Rfam family: Bacterial small subunit ribosomal RNA
Source: RNAcentral
AGAGCUGAUUAUGGCCUGGAUUUAUCGCCAGUGGAUGUUUGAUACAUGCCGCAAGUCGAACGGCAGCACGGACUUCGGUCUGGUGGCGAGUGGACAACGGUGCAGGAAUGUAUCGGAACGUGCCUAGUAGUGGGGGACAACUACGCGAAAGCGUAGCUAAUACCGCAUAACGCCCUUCGGGGAAAGCGGGGACCUUCGGGCCUCGCACUAAUAGAGCGGCCGAUAUCGGAUUAGCUAGUUGGUGGGGUAACGGCUCACCAAGGCGGUGACGACCGCAGCUGGUUUGAGAGGACGACCAGCCACACUGGGACUGAGACACGCCCAGAUCUACGGGAGGCAGCAGGGGGAAUUUUGGGAUAAUGGGGGAAACCCUGAUCCAGCCAUCCCGCGUGUGCGAUGAAGGCCUUCGGGUUGUAAAGCACUUCUUAGCAGGAAGAAACGGCACGGAUAAUACCCCGUGCAAUCGACGGUACCGGUGAGAAUAAGCACCGGCUAACCACGUGCCAGCAGCCGCGGUAAUGUAGGGUAAGCGUUAAUCGGAAUUACUGGGCGUAAAGCGUGCGCAGGCGGUUCUGGAAAGAAAGAUGUGAAGUCCCAGAGCUUAACUUUGAACUGCAUUUUUAACUACCGAGCUACGUGUCAGAGGGAGGUGGAAUUCCGCGUGUAGCAGAAUGCGUAGAUAUGCGGAGAACGACUCAAUACGGCGAAGGCAGCCUCUCCUGGGAUAACACUGACGCUCAUGCACGAAAGCGCGGGGAGCAACAGGAUUGACACCCGGUAGUCCACGCCCUAAACGAUGUCAAAUCAGCUGUUGGCCUUCGGCUUCGGUAGCGCAGCUAACGCGUGAAGCUGGACUGCCUGGGGAGUACGGUCGCAAGACGAACCCAAAGGAAUUGACGGGGACCGGCACGCUGCUGGUGGAUGAUGUGAUUAAUCUGAUGCAACGCGUGAAAAACCUUACCUACCCUUGACAUGUCUGGAAUCCUGAAGAGAUUUGGGAGUGCUCAUAAGAGAACCGGAACACAGGUGCUGCAUGGCUGUCGUCAGCUCGUGUCGUGAGAUGUUGGGUUAAGUCCCGCAACGAGCGCAACCCUUGUCAUUAGUUGUUACAGGUACACUGACGAGACUGCCGGUGACAAACCGAGGUGAAGGUGGGGAUGACGUCAAGUCCUCAUGGCCCUAUGGUACUUCACACGUCAUACAAUGGUCGGGACAGAGGGUCGCCAACCCCGCGAGGGGGAGCUAAUCCUGGAAACCCGGAUCGUAGUCCGGAUCGCAGUCUGCAACUCGACUGCGUGAAGUCGGAAUCGCUAGUAAUCGCGGAUCAGCAUGUCGCGGUGAAUACGUUCCCGGGUCUUGUACACACUGCCCGUCACACCAUGGGAGGGCUUUACCAGAAGCAGUUAGCCUAACUGCAAGGGAGGGCGAUUACCACGGUAGGAUUCAUGACUGGGGUGAAGUCGUAACAAGGUAG